GAGACAUGGUCUCACAGGGAAUAUUACCAUUCGAUUGCAAAGGGGUGCGGGGAAUGUGCGUUUGAUGUAGAUACCCGAGAUACCGACGCAUUUUGUGGAGGAAUGGAAAACUUCAAGUUAAAUUCCGAGAAAACCUGCCGAAAUUCGCUGCGGUGAUACCUUUGAUGGCACGGUUGGAAUCAACUGCGAAACAAAUCAAGAUGGCCAACUUGUUGAGGCUGUUGGGGCUGACUUGGGGCUGAACUCCGCCCACGAAAAACCAUCCUCUGUAUAACUCAAUCUUAUCUCACACCGCAAACGGGCAUACCCACA
RNAcentral lists this small RNA (312 nucleotides) under Histoplasma capsulatum. RNAcentral's name for it is "hypothetical RNA". Lineage: Eukaryota; Fungi; Ascomycota; Eurotiomycetes; Onygenales; Ajellomycetaceae. RNAcentral also lists the same sequence under 1 other name. The record is from RNAcentral.